GGAGGCUUCUGGGUGGGACGUUUCUGCACCCCUCAGAAUGGGUUGGAAGGGGAGGUGGGGGUUGGACAGAGAGAUGGGGGAGAAUAAUGUAAAGAACCGACUCUCCAAGCGGCGGCUUUGCCAUAGCAACGGGGAAACGGAUGAAUGAAUGACAUCAUAGUGGUGGGGAGGUGAGAGAGUGUGAAAUUGAUUCGGUGAAAGAGUGUGGGAGGCGGGCGUUUCGUUCGUUUGGUGGACAGGCACGUUUUCUCUCCUUCCUUCAUCCCUUGUUCCCCGUGGACGGGGUCCUCCGUAAGAUUUACGCUUACCACGCUGCACCUUGGUCUCCUCAUUCAAACGACGAGCGUAACAGAAGAUCCCACCACAAACGGACCAAGCAGCGUGGUCAGGAGGAGAGGACACGACGGAAACCCGAGAGGCAGCCCCCAAUUAUUAAUUUUUUUUGGGGGGGGGCAGAUGACGUGGGUGUCGGUGCUGAGGGGUGAGUCUGAGACCGAGGAGGAGUUCUUGGAUCCUUGAGCGAGGAGUGGUUGGCAGUGGAGAGGGACGAAAGAGCUUGGAGGGGUUGGAGUCUGGAGCAAGACAGUCGCUUUGAGGAGUGUGUGACUCUUCAGGCAUCAUGUUUUGCGGAGAUAUGCAAUGUGUCUCCAGUGCACAUCCAUUGCCUGGUGCGUUCUGUGCCAGCUCCUCGCACAUGCCGUGCGAAAGUGAGCAUCCAGCCAGGACGGGUUGUGCCGGCUCAGCACUCCAGGUCUCCAGUACGCCUCCUCGGUCCAGGAUAUCCUGCGCCAGUGCGCCUUCACAGCCUAGUGCGUCCUGUGCCAGCGUCCCGCACUUGCUGGGCUAAAGUGAGCAUCCAGCCAGGACGGGUUGUGCCAGUUCUACGCUCCAGACCUCCAGUGCGCCUCCACGGCCCAGUAUAUCCUGUGCCAGCUCCGCGCACCCGGUCUCCAGUGUGUCUCCCCAGCCCGGUACGACCUGUGCCUGCUCCACACACCCGGCCUCCAGUGCGUCUCUCCACCCUGGUACGCCCUGUGCCUGCUCCACGCACCCGUCCUCCAGUGCGUCUCUCCACCCUGGUACGCCCUGUGCCUGCUCCACGCACCCGGCCUCCAGUGCGUCUCUCCACCCUGGUACGCCCUGUGCCUGCUCCACGCACCCGGCCUCCAGUGCGUCUCUCAUUUUCUUGUUUUGUUGGUGUUCAUCUAAUAAAGUAAGAUGUACGCUUACUACGCUGC
RNAcentral lists this long non-coding RNA (1238 nucleotides) under Salmo salar (Atlantic salmon). RNAcentral's name for it is "lncRNA (ENSSSAG00000083725.1)". The record is from RNAcentral. Lineage: Eukaryota; Metazoa; Chordata; Actinopteri; Salmoniformes; Salmonidae.